CGCAGCCGCGGUAAUUCCAGCUCCAAUAGCGUAUAUUAAAGUUGUUGCAGUUAAAAGCNCGUAGUUGAAUUUCGGGAUCAAUUAGUCGGUCGUGCCUCUGGUACGUACUGGUUUUAUUGGUUCCUCCCUUCUGACGAAACAUGAUGUCAUUAAUUUGGUGUCGUGGAGAAUCAGGACUGUUACCUUGAAAAAAUUAGAGUGUUUAUAGCAGGCUAACGCUUGAAUACAUUAGCAUGGAAUAAUGAAAUAGGACGUUCGACCCUAUUUUGUUGGUUUCUAGGAUCGACGUAAUGAUUAAUAGGGAUAGUUGGGGGCAUUAGUAUCCAAUUGUCAGAGGUGAAAUUCUUGGAUUUAUUGAAGACUAACUACUGCGAAAGCAUUUGCCAAGGAUGUUUUCAUUAAUCAAGAACGAAAGUUAGGGGAUCGAAGACGAUCAGAUACCGUCGUAGUCUUAACCAUAAACUAUGCCGACUAGGGAUCGGAUGAUGUUAAUUUUUUAAUGACUCAUUCGGCGCCUUAC
This 520-nucleotide ribosomal RNA is filed under the name uncultured Glomus. Its description in RNAcentral is "SSU rRNA". It matches the Rfam family "Eukaryotic small subunit ribosomal RNA", at positions 569 to 1091 of the family's 1831-position model. Lineage: Eukaryota; Fungi; Glomeromycota; Glomeromycetes; Glomerales; Glomeraceae. The record is from RNAcentral.